RNAcentral lists this ribosomal RNA (253 nucleotides) under uncultured bacterium. Its description in RNAcentral is "partial 16S ribosomal RNA". It matches the Rfam family "Bacterial small subunit ribosomal RNA", at positions 524 to 776 of the family's 1533-position model. The record is from RNAcentral.
UACGUAGGCAGCGAGCGUUGUUCGGAGUUACUGGGCGUAAAGGGUGUGUAGGCGGUCCCUUAAGUUUGGUGUGAAAUCUCCCGGCUCAACUGGGAGGGUGCGCCGGAUACUGAGGGGCUAGAGUGCGGGAGGGGAAAGUGGAAUUCCUGGUGUAGCGGUGAAAUGCGUAGAUAUCAGGAGGAACACCGGUGGUGCAAACGGCUUUCUGGACCGUAACUGACGCUGAGACACGAAAGCGUGGGGAGCAAACAGG